This 76-nucleotide transfer RNA is filed under the name Candidatus Thiodiazotropha sp. RNAcentral's name for it is "tRNA-Trp". It matches the Rfam family "tRNA". Rfam says of the family: Transfer RNA (tRNA) molecules are approximately 80 nucleotides in length. Lineage: Bacteria; Pseudomonadati; Pseudomonadota; Gammaproteobacteria; Chromatiales; Sedimenticolaceae. The record is from RNAcentral. RNAcentral also lists the same sequence under 6 other names.
AGGCCAAUGGCUCAAUUGGUAGAGCAGCGGUCUCCAAAACCGCAGGUUGGGGGUUCGAUUCCCUCUUGGCCUGCCA